UNUGACUUGAGUGCAGAAGGGGAGAGUGGAAUUCCAUGUGUAGCGGUGAAAUGCGUAGAUAUAUGGAGGAACACCAGUGGCGAAAGCGGCUCUCUGGUCUGUCACUGACGCUGAGGCUCGAAAGCGUGGGUAGCGAACAGGAUUAGAUACCCUGGUAGUNCACGCCGUAAACGAUGAGUGCUAGGUGUUAGGCCCUUUCCGGGGCUUAGUGCCGGAGCUAACGCAAUAAGCACUCCGCCUGGGGAGUACGACCGCAAGGUUGAAACUCAAAGGAAUUGACGGGGGCCCGCACAAGCGGUGGAGCAUGUGGUUUAAUUCGAAGCAACGCGAAGAACCUUACCAGGUCUUGACAUCCCGAUGCUAUUCUUAGAGAUAGGAAGUUACUUCGGUACAUCGGAGACAGGUGGUGCAUGGUUGUCGUCAGCUCGUGUCGUGAGAUGUUGGGUUAAGUCCCGCAACGAGCGCAACCCUUAUUGUUAGUUGCCAUCAUUAAGUUGGGCACUCUAGCGAGACUGCCGGUAAUAAACCGGAGGAAGGUGGGGAUGACGUCAAAUCAUCAUGCCCCUUAUGACCUGGGCUACACACGUGCUACAAUGGUCGGUACAACGAGUUGCGAGCCGGUGACGGCAAGCUAAUCUCUGAAAGCCGAUCUCAGUUCGGAUUGGAGGCUGCAACUCGCCUCCAUGAAGUCGGAAUCGCUAGUAAUCGCGGAUCAGCACGCCGCGGUGAAUACGUUCCCGGGCCUUGUAUACACCGCCCGUCACACCACGAGAGUUUGUAACACCCGAAGUCGGUGAGGUAACCUUUUAGGGGCC
Molecule: ribosomal RNA, 815 nt
Filed under: uncultured bacterium
Lineage: Bacteria
Description: bacterial SSU rRNA
Rfam family: Bacterial small subunit ribosomal RNA
Source: RNAcentral